This 600-nucleotide ribosomal RNA is filed under the name uncultured Bacteroidota bacterium. RNAcentral describes it as "bacterial SSU rRNA". It matches the Rfam family "Bacterial small subunit ribosomal RNA", at positions 79 to 678 of the family's 1533-position model. The record is from RNAcentral. Lineage: Bacteria; Pseudomonadati; Bacteroidota.
UUCGGUUUCAAUGAAAGUGGCGCACGGGUGCGUAACACGUAUGCAACCUACCUCUUACAGGGGGAUAGCCCGGGGAAACCCGGAUUAAUACCCCAUGGUACUAUUGAUUGGCAUCAUGAGGUAGUUAAAGAUUUAUCGGUAAGAGAUGGGCAUGCGUCUGAUUAGCUAGUUGGUGGUGUAACGGACCACCAAGGCGACGAUCAGUAGGGGUUCUGAGAGGAAGGUCCCCCACACUGGCACUGAGAUACGGGCCAGACUCCUACGGGAGGCAGCAGUAGGGAAUAUUGGGCAAUGGGCGAGAGCCUGACCCAGCCAUGCCGCGUGCAGGAAGACGGCCUAUUGGGUUGUAAACUGCUUUUAUCUGGGAAGAAAAUGCUCCUGCGGGGGAAAUUGCCGGUACCAGAUGAAUAAGCACCGGCUAACUCCGUGCCAGCAGCCGCGGUAAUACGGAGGGUGCAAGCGUUGUCCGGAUUUAUUGGGUUUAAAGGGUGCGUAGGCGGCCUGUUAAGUCAGCGGUGAAAGACCACGGCUCAACCGUGGCAGUGCCGUUGAUACUGGCAGGCUUGAGUGCUGCAGGGGUACAUGGAAUUGAUGGUGUAG